This 503-nucleotide ribosomal RNA is filed under the name uncultured bacterium. RNAcentral describes it as "bacterial SSU rRNA". It matches the Rfam family "Bacterial small subunit ribosomal RNA", at positions 28 to 533 of the family's 1533-position model. The record is from RNAcentral.
GACGAACGCUGGCGGCGUGCCUAACACAUGCAAGUCGAGCGGGGUUGAAGCGAGGGGUAACUCGAGUUUCUACCUAGCGGCGGACGGGUGAGUAACGCGUGGGCAACCUGCCUCAAGGACUGGGAUAACAGCUCGAAAGGGCUGCUAAUACCGGAUAAGCCCAUGGCCUCGCAUGGGGCCAUGAGCAAAGGGGAAACCCGCCUUGAGAUGGGCCCGCGUCCCAUCAGCUAGUUGGUGAGGUGAAGGCUCACCAAGGCGACGACGGGUAGCCGGCCUGAGAGGGUGACCGGCCACACUGGGACUGAGACACGGCCCAGACUCCUACGGGGGCAGCAGUGGGGAAUCUUGCACAAUGGGCGAAAGCCUGAUGCAGCGACGCCGCGUGAGCGAAGAAGGCCUUCGGGUUGUAAAGCUCUGUCUGGAGGGACGAAGGAAGUGACGGUACCUCCGGAGGAAGCCACGGCUAACUACGUGCCAGCAGCCGCGGUAAGAUCACGUGUACG